RNAcentral lists this unclassified non-coding RNA (250 nucleotides) under plant metagenome. RNAcentral describes it as "partial contains small subunit ribosomal RNA, internal transcribed spacer 1, and 5.8S ribosomal RNA". The record is from RNAcentral.
GUAGGUGAACCUGCGGAAGGAUCAUUAACACGUAUCCACGUUAAUAUCAACCACUAAGAACUGUGCUCCCUGGCCUCCGACUUCUGCGCUGUCCGUGAAGGUUGUAAUGGGUUGCAAUUGGCGCAUCUUCGCGAUAGUCUUUUGUAACAUACCUGCUCACCGGCUGUCACUCCGCUUGCGAGAGUGUGGCAAAGUAACUGGACGCUGGGCUUAUUUUACCCCAUCAAACUGCUCUCUCAACCAUUUUGAG